Molecule: ribosomal RNA, 407 nt
Filed under: uncultured bacterium
Lineage: Bacteria
Description: partial 16S ribosomal RNA
Rfam family: Bacterial small subunit ribosomal RNA
Source: RNAcentral
AUUGAACGCUGGCGGCAUGCCUAACACAUGCAAGUCGAGCGGAGCUGCGGACGGGUGAGUACUGCCUAGUAAUCUGCCUGUUCGUGGGGGAUCACGUCCGGACACGGGCCCUAAUACCGCAUACUUUCAGCUGAGCCUAGGUCGUCUUAGCUCGUUGGUGGGGUAAAGGCCUACCAAGGCGACGAUCCGUAACUGCUCUGAGAGGAUGAUCAGGCACACUGGAACGGAGACACGGUCCAGACUCCUACGGGAGGCAGCAGUGGGGAAUAUUGGGCAAUGGGCGAAAGCCUGAUCCAGCAAUGCCGCGUGUGUGAAGAAGGUCUUCGGAGUGUAAAGCACUGUAAGUUGGGAGGCGGGACCAAAAGAGUAAGCAACGGCUAACUUCGUGCCAGCAGCCGCGGUAAUAC